RNAcentral lists this ribosomal RNA (465 nucleotides) under uncultured bacterium. Its description in RNAcentral is "partial 16S ribosomal RNA". It matches the Rfam family "Bacterial small subunit ribosomal RNA", at positions 338 to 795 of the family's 1533-position model. The record is from RNAcentral.
CCUACGGGAGACUGCAGUAGGGAAUCUUCCACAAUGGGCGAAAGCCUGAUGGAGCAACGCCGCGUGGGUGAAGAAGGUCUUCGGAUCGUAAAACCCUGUUGUUAGAGAAGAAAGUGCGUGAGAGUAACUGUUCACGUUUCGACGGUAUCUAACCAGAAAGCCACGGCUAACUACGUGCCAGCAGCCGCGGUAAUACGUAGGUGGCAAGCGUUAUCCGGAUUUAUUGGGCGUAAAGGGAACGCAGGCGGUCUUUUAAGUCUGAUGUGAAAGCCUUCGGCUUAACCGGAGUAGUGCAUUGGAAGCUGAGAGACGUGAGUGCAGAAGAGGAGAGUGGAACUCCAUGUGUAGCGGUGAAAUGCGUAGAUAUAUGGAAGAACACCAGUGGCGAAAGCGGCUCUCUGGUCUGUAACUGACGCUGAGGUUCGAAAGCGUGGGUAGCAAACAGGAUUAGAUACCCCAGUAGUC